Molecule: ribosomal RNA, 225 nt
Filed under: uncultured bacterium
Lineage: Bacteria
Description: partial 16S ribosomal RNA
Rfam family: Bacterial small subunit ribosomal RNA
Source: RNAcentral
GAUCAUGGCUCAGGAUGAACGCUAGCUACAGGCUUAACACAUGCAAGUCGAGGGGCAGCGGGAUUGAAGCUUGCUUCAAUUGCCGGCGACCGGCGCACGGGUGAGUAACGCGUAUCCAACCUUCCGUACACUCAGGGAUAGCCUUUCGAAAGAAAGAUUAAUACCUGAUGGUAUGAUGAGAUUGCAUGAUAGCAUCAUUAAAGAUUCAUCGGUAACGGAUGGGGA